UUGAACGCUGGCGGCAGGCCUAACACAUGCAAGUCGAGCGGAUGAAGGGAGCUUGCUCCUGGAUUCAGCGGCGGACGGGUGAGUAAUGCCUAGGAAUCUGCCUGGUAGUGGGGGAUAACGUCCGGAAACGGGCGCUAAUACCGCAUACGUCCUGAGGGAGAAAGUGGGGGAUCUUCGGACCUCACGCUAUCAGAUGAGCCUAGGUCGGAUUAGCUAGUUGGUGGGGUAAAGGCCUACCAAGGCGACGAUCCGUAACUGGUCUGAGAGGAUGAUCAGUCACACUGGAACUGAGACACGGUCCAGACUCCUACGGGAGGCAGCAGUGGGGAAUAUUGGACAAUGGGCGAAAGCCUGAUCCAGCCAUGCCGCGUGUGUGAAGAAGGUCUUCGGAUUGUAAAGCACUUUAAGUUGGGAGGAAGGACAGUAAGUUAAUACCUUGCUGUUUUGACGUUACCAACAGAAUAAGCACCGGCUAACUUCGUG
This 483-nucleotide ribosomal RNA is filed under the name uncultured bacterium. RNAcentral's name for it is "partial 16S ribosomal RNA". It matches the Rfam family "Bacterial small subunit ribosomal RNA", at positions 30 to 507 of the family's 1533-position model. The record is from RNAcentral.